AGUGAACGCUGGCGGUAGGCCUAACACAUGCAAGUCGAACGGCAGCACAGUAAGAGCUUGCUCUUACGGGUGGCGAGUGGCGGACGGGUGAGGAAUACAUCGGAAUCUACUUUUUCGUGGGGGAUAACGUAGGGAAACUUACGCUAAUACCGCAUACGACCUACGGGUGAAAGCAGGGGAUCUUCGGACCUUGCGCGAUUGAAUGAGCCGAUGUCGGAUUAGCUAGUUGGCGGGGUAAAGGCCCACCAAGGCGACGAUCCGUAGCGGGUCUGAGAGGAUGAUCAGCCACACUGGAACUGAGACACGGUCCAGACUCCUACGGGAGGCAGAAGGGGGGAAUAUUGGACAAUGGGCGAAAGCCUGAUCAAGCCAUACCGAGUGGGUGAAGAAGGCCUUCGGGUGGUAAAGCCCUUUUGUUGGGAAAGAAAAGCAGCAGGUUAAUACCCCGCUGUUCUGACGGUACCCAAAGAAUAAGCACCGGCUAACUUCGU
Molecule: ribosomal RNA, 491 nt
Filed under: uncultured bacterium
Lineage: Bacteria
Description: partial 16S ribosomal RNA
Rfam family: Bacterial small subunit ribosomal RNA
Source: RNAcentral